CCUACGGGAGGCAGCAGUGGGGAAUAUUGCACAAUGGGCGCAAGCCUGAUGCAGCCAUGCCGCGUGUGUGAAGAAGGCCUUAGGGUUGUAAAGCACUUUCAGCGAGGAGGAAGGGUACAGUGUUAAUAGCACUGUACAUUGACGUUACUCGCAGAAGAAGCACCGGCUAACUCCGUGCCAGCAGCCGCGGUAAUACGGAGGGUGCAAGCGUUAAUCGGAAUUACUGGGCGUAAAGCGCACGCAGGCGGUUUGUUAAGUCAGAUGCGAAAUCCCCGAGCUUAACUUGGGAACUGCAUGUGAAACUGGCAAGCUAGAGUCUUGUAGAGGGGGGUAGAAUUCCAGGUGUAGCGGUGAAAUGCGUAGAGAUCUGGAGGAAUACCGGUGGCGAAGGCGGCCCCCUGGACAAAGACUGACGCUCAGGUGCGAAAGCGUGGGGAGCAAACAGGAUUAGAUACCCCAGUAGUC
This 465-nucleotide ribosomal RNA is filed under the name uncultured Serratia sp. RNAcentral's name for it is "bacterial SSU rRNA". It matches the Rfam family "Bacterial small subunit ribosomal RNA", at positions 338 to 795 of the family's 1533-position model. Lineage: Bacteria; Pseudomonadati; Pseudomonadota; Gammaproteobacteria; Enterobacterales; Yersiniaceae. The record is from RNAcentral.